This 498-nucleotide ribosomal RNA is filed under the name uncultured bacterium. RNAcentral's name for it is "partial 16S ribosomal RNA". It matches the Rfam family "Bacterial small subunit ribosomal RNA", at positions 30 to 523 of the family's 1533-position model. The record is from RNAcentral.
AUUGAACGCUGGCGGCAUGCUUUACACAUGCAAGUCGAGCGGUUGAGGUAGCUUGCUACCGAUGCAGCGGCGAACGGGUGAGUAAUACAUGGGAAUCUGCCUGGUAGUGGGGGACAACGUCUCGAAAGGGACGCUAAUACCGCAUACGCCCUACGGGGGAAAGGGGGGGAUCUUCGGACCUCUCGCUAUCAGAUGAGCCCAUGUCAGAUUAGCUAGUUGGUGGGGUAAAGGCUCACCAAGGCGACGAUCUGUAACUGGUCUGAGAGGAUGAUCAGUCACACUGGAACUGAGACACGGUCCAGACUCCUACGGGAGGCAGCAGUGGGGAAUAUUGGACAAUGGGCGCAAGCCUGAUCCAGCCAUGCCGCGUGUGUGAAGAAGGCCUUAGGGUUGUAAAGCACUUUCAGUGGGGAGAAAGGUAAUUCACCUAAUACGUGAGUUAAUUGAUGUUACCCACAGAAGAAGCACCGGCUAACUCCGUGCCAGCAGCCGCAGUAA